This 27-nucleotide small RNA is filed under the name Bombyx mori (domestic silkworm). Its description in RNAcentral is "ovarian small RNA-38387". Lineage: Eukaryota; Metazoa; Arthropoda; Insecta; Lepidoptera; Bombycidae. The record is from RNAcentral.
UUUGAUAUGGAUUAGUAAGUUAAAGCA